This 72-nucleotide transfer RNA is filed under the name Salmo salar (Atlantic salmon). It matches the Rfam family "tRNA". Rfam says of the family: Transfer RNA (tRNA) molecules are approximately 80 nucleotides in length. Their secondary structure includes four short double-helical elements and three loops (D, anti-codon, and T loops). Lineage: Eukaryota; Metazoa; Chordata; Actinopteri; Salmoniformes; Salmonidae. The record is from Rfam by way of RNAcentral.
GGGGAUAUAGCUCAGUGGUAGAGCAUUUGACGGUAGCUCAAGAUGUCCGAAGUUUGAAUCCUGGUGCCCCCU